AUGGCGCUGGGAGAAUGGGGCUCACCAAGGCGGCUCCAGGACACGAUGGGGCGGGGGUUGCCUGUGGCAACACACUCCAACACAGCAGUCUGGUGCACAGUCAGGGUCAGGUUCUCAGGCCCCACGAGGAUUGUCGGCUCCUUGUAGGCACCGGAGCCGGAGCCUGGGAAGGGGAAAACACCACCAUGUCCGUCCUGAAUGAGCUAAGAGCCACAGAGGGCGUCACACCAUCCGUGGACCCCAUUCUGACAACUCUGCAUGCCCAGGCAACACAGGAAGGGGUGAAACAAAGCUCUCCAGAUGGGAACAUGGGGAGGGACAGGGCUCUGCAGUCUAGAACUCGGGGAAAAUUGAGCCACCAACCAUGGAAAGCCUAUCUCUGAAUGAACUCUCCAAUCUUCCUCCCCUUGGAAAAAAGAUCUCAGCUCAGGCAGCUGAAUGAUGGAGAAGAUAUUUAGCUGCAGAUGACCACCAUCCAUUUGGACCUUCAUGAGUCUCUUUCCACACGGGGCUGCUCACUCACCUGUCAUUCCUCGUGUCAAUGGGGAUAUGGGAUAUGGUUCUUCUCCCACAAGAUGAGGGGCUUGGGCAGCCCGUGGAUCUGGCACUGGAACCUGGCCACUCCACCCUCCUCACCCACCGUGGCCUGUGGGUGCACAUGAAAGUCCGACAUGGCUGGCAAGAGAGAAGAGGAGAAAGGAGAGAAGUUGGGAUCAGGAAGGACAUCAAGAAUUUGACUCAGAGAGGGCUGUGGGAAGAGCUCUGGGGUGACAUCCCUCCAGAUACCACAUCAUUCAUUCCUAGUUGCAUUUUAAAGUAUUUGAAAAGAAAAAAGAAAGGGGGGGGGGAAUGACAAAAAAAAGGAAUAUUGCAAAACUACACAAAGAAUAAGAAUGUCCCCAAAGAAGAGAUCAGAGAAGAUAUUUUCCUCACUCUUUUGCAGAGAAAUCUUUUGCUAUAUAUGAUAGAUCUCUUGGAAAGAAAGAAGGAAGGCUUUUACAAGAAGGAAACUUAAGGGAUAUAAAAACAAAAGACAUCGAAUAGCCUGUCAAUUAUAUGUAUUGUUGGCUCUCCAGCUAGAAUGUAAGGUCCGUGAGGACAGGCCUGUUUCAUUCUUGUCUUUGUAUCCCUGGUGACUGUUCAGUGCCUGGCCUAUAGUAGUCAAUUAAUAAAUGUUUGUGGGUUGAUCAGUUGGUUGGCUGGUUGGACAACUCCCACCAUCCUUGUAUCUGUAUUGAGAUUUCCUACCUCUGAAUCUUGGGGUGUGGGUUUCCACACCUUCAUUUCAAUUCAAUCUCCUCCCAAUUCCAGUUACAUUUAUGCCUUGAAAUACUAUCAGUCCCUACACCGUGGCACAAGAAUGUAAUGGACUUCCCUACUAGCAGCAAUGCCCAGGACAAUCCAGAGAAACUUAUGAGAAAGAACACUAUCCACAUCCAGAGGAAGAACUGUGGGAGCAGAUACAGAAGAAAAACAUGAUCAAUCACAUGGUUUGAUGGGGAUAGGAUUGGGAGUGCAGACUCUAAAUGAUCUCUCUACUGCAAAUAGUAAUAACAUGGAAAUAGGUUUUAAACAAUGAUAUAUGUAAAACCCAGUGGAAUUGCUUGUCAGCUCUGAGAGUGGGGAGGGAAAGAACAUGAAUCAUGUAACCAUGAAAAAAUAUUCUUAAUUAAUUAAAUAAAAAUUUAAAAAAUGAAAAAUGAAAAAAAAG
Molecule: non-coding RNA, 1711 nt
Organism: Monodelphis domestica (gray short-tailed opossum)
Lineage: Eukaryota; Metazoa; Chordata; Mammalia; Didelphimorphia; Didelphidae
Source: RefSeq, a predicted model, not a curated record